Molecule: long non-coding RNA, 322 nt
Organism: Cygnus olor (mute swan)
Lineage: Eukaryota; Metazoa; Chordata; Aves; Anseriformes; Anatidae
Exons: 3
Source: RefSeq, a predicted model, not a curated record
CUUCGCCGCUGCUCUGCGCCCAGCCCGGGGGGUUGCCGAGGUGGCUCUGGUGCGGCUCGCAGCCUUGCAGACCCGGAUCUCAUCACUCCUUUCACCGGCAGCACCCUGAGUCCAUCAGGCAAUGGAAACACUCGGCAUCACCACUUCCCGAGGCACCAGAGGGACAUCCUGGCCCCAUCCAGCCCAUCUCCCCACUGCUGAGAGCUGCAGCCAAGGGACGAUAGCGUGGUCUGGGCGCUGGUCUGGGCGGGGCAGGAUGAGGCGGUUCCAGAAGGAAGGAGCUGGGGCCAGUUUCCACAUUGGUAUCACGGGGUCAAGCUCC